GAUCAUCAGCCAGUCCAAGUGGGUCGAAAGCACCACCUGGGUAAAUUGGGUCCAGUCCUUCACCAAGUGGUCCCCCACCAACUCUGUAUCCUUCAACAAAUCCCAUGAGCACAACUUGGCAAGCCCAGAUUGCAAGAAUGCUCUGAGCAUGGAUAAGGUUUGGGUUGCCAAGAUAGUCAAGGCCGCCCUCGGAGAAUAUUUGAGAUCCAGCUUUGAACCAAACUGCCUCUCCGAACUUAACUCCAUUCUUUGAAAGAAUUUCAGGGAAG
RNAcentral lists this long non-coding RNA (269 nucleotides) under Gossypium barbadense (sea-island cotton). Its description in RNAcentral is "long non-coding RNA (GBAR_LNC006521)". Lineage: Eukaryota; Viridiplantae; Streptophyta; Magnoliopsida; Malvales; Malvaceae. The record is from RNAcentral.